This is a long non-coding RNA of Zea mays, 12765 nucleotides long. RefSeq lists it as uncharacterized. The transcript has 4 exons. Lineage: Eukaryota; Viridiplantae; Streptophyta; Magnoliopsida; Poales; Poaceae. The record is from RefSeq and is a predicted model, not a curated record.
UUUGGUUACCCAAGGUGCUUGUUUCUAACGUGAAAGGACCUAAGACUGAUUGGGUACCUAAGAACAAGGCUUAAAACUAUUUUUCAGGUUUAUGCAUCCCGGGGCUCAUGUUGGAUAAUUGAUAGCAGAUGCACAAACCACAUGAGAGGGGAGAAAAGAAUGUUCUUCCUCCUACGAGAAAAACGAAGAUCCCUAACGAGCUAUCACAUUCGGGGAUGGAAAUCAAGGUUUGGUCAAAGGACUUUGUAAAAUUGCUAUAUCACCUGACCAUUCUAUUUCCAAUAUUUUUCUUGUAGAUUCUUUAGAUUAUAACUUGCUUUCAGUUUCUCAAUUAUGCAAAAUGGGUUACAACUGUCUUUUUACGGAUAUAGGUGUUACUGUCUUUAGAAGAAGUGAUGAUUCAAUAGCAUUUAAGGAAGUAUUAGAGGGUCAGCUAUACUUAGUUCAUUUUAACAAAGCUGAACUCGAUACUUGCUUAAUUGCUAAGACUAAUAUGGGUUGGCUCUGGCAUCGCCGACUAGCCCAUGUUGGAAUGAAGAAUCUUCACAAGCUUCUAAAGGGAGAACACAUUUUGGGACUAACAAAUGUUCAUUUUGAGAAAGACAGGGUUUGUAGCGCAUGUCAGGCAGGAAAGCAAGUUGGCUCCCACCAUCCACACAAAAACAUAAUGACAACAGACAGACCACUGGAGUUACUCCACAUGGAUCUAUUCGGCCCGAUAGCUUAUAUAAGCAUCGGCGGGAGUAAGUACUAUCUAGUAAUUGUGGAUGAUUAUUCUCGCUUCACUUGGAUACUCUUUUUGCAGGAAAAAUCACAAACCCAAGAGACUUUAAAGGGAUUCUUGAGAUGGGCUCAAAAUGAGUUCGGAUUGAGAAUCAAAAAGAUUAGAAGUGAUAAUGGAACGGAGUUCAAGAACUCUCAAAUCGAAGGCUUUCUUGAGGACGAGGGCAUCAAGCAUGAGUUCUCUUGUAGUGGAGAGGAAGAAUAGAACUCUACUAGACAUGGCAAGGACCAUGCUUGAUGAGUACAAGACUCCGGACCGGUUUUGGGCUAAGGCGAUUAACACCGCCUGCUACUCCAUCAACAGGUUAUAUCUUCACCGAAUCCUCAAGAAGACAUCAUAUGAACUCCUCACUGGUAAAAAGCCCAAUGUUUCAUAUUUUAGAGUCUUUGGUAGCAAAUGUUUUAUUCUUAUUAAAAGAGGUAGAAAAUCUAAAUUUACUCUGAAGGCUGUAGAAGGCUUUUUACUUGGUUAUGACUCAAACACAAGGGCAUAUAUAGAGUCUUCAACAAAUCCACUGGAUUAGUUGAAGUUUCUUGUGACAUUGUGUUUGAUGAGACUAAUGGCUCCCAAGUGGAGCAAGUUGAUCUUGAUGAAUUAGAUGAUGAAGAGGCUCCGUGCAUCGCGCUAAGGAACAUGUCCAUUGGGGAUGUGUGUCCUAAGGAAUUCGAAGAGCCCACACAAGCACAAGAUCAACCGUCAUCUUCCAUGCAAGCAUCUCCACCAACUCAAGAUGAGGAACAGGCUCAAGACAAUGAAGAUCAGGAGGAUGAGCCACCUCAAGAGGAGGACAAUGAUCAAGGGGGAGAUGAAGACAAGGAAGAUGAGCAGGAGAUACAGGGUCAACGACCGCCACACCCAAGAGUCCACCAAGGGAUUUAAAGAGAUCACCCCGUGAACUCAAUUCUCGGUGACAUUCAUAAGGGGUAACUACUCGAUCUCGAGUCGCUCAUUUUUGUGAACAAUACUCUUUUGUGUCCUCUAUUGAGCCAUACAGGGUGGAGGAUGCAUUAAAAGAUUUGGAUUGGGUGUUAGCAAUGCAAGAGGAGCUCAACAACUUCACGAGGAAUGAGGUAUGGCAUUUAGUUCCACGUCCUAAUCAAAAUGUUGUAGGUACCAAAUGGGUAUUCCGCAACAAGCAAGAUGAGCAUGGUGUGGUGACAAGGAACAAAGCCCGACUUGUGGCCAAGGGUUAUUCACAAGUCGUAGGUUUGGAUUUCGGUAAAACCUAUGCACCCGUAGCUAGGCUUGAGUCAAUUCGUAUAUUACUUGCCUAUGCUACUUACCAUGGCUUCAAGCUUUAUCAAAUGGAUGUGAAAAGUGCCUUCCUCAAUGGACCAAUCAAGGAAGAGGUCUAUGUUGAGCAACCUCCCAGCUUUGAAGAUAGUGAGUACCCUAACCAUGUUUAUAAACUCUCAAAGGCGCUUUAUGGGCUCAAGCAAGCCCCGAGAGCAUGGUAUGAAUGCCUUCGAGAUUUUCUUAUCACUAAUGGCUUCAAAGUCGGAAAAGCCGAUCCUACACUCUUUACUAAAACUAUUGCAAAAGAUUUGUUUGUAUGCCAAAUUUAUGUUGAUGAUAUCAUAUUUGGGUCUACUAACAAAUCUACUUGUGAAGAGUUUAGUAGGAUCAUGAUACAGAAAUUCGAGAUGUCUAUGAUGGGGGAGUUGAAGUAUUUCCUAGGAUUUCAAGUCAAGCAACUCCAAGAUGGCACCUUCAUCAGCCAAACAAAAUACAUACAAGACAUACUUACCAAGUUUGGAAUGAAGGAUGCCAAGCCCAUCAAGACACCCAUGGGAACAAAUGGGCAUCUCGACCUCGACACGAGAGGUAAAUCCGUAUAUCAAAAUGUAUAUCGGUCGAUGAUAGGAUCUUUACUCUAUUUGUGUGCAUCUCGACCAGAUAUUAUGCUUUCUGUAUGCAUGUGUGCAAGGUUCCAAGCCGAUCCUAAGGAAGUUCACCUUAGGGUCGUAAAAAGAAUCAUGAGAUAUUUAGUUUACACUCCUAAGUUUGUACUUUGGUACCCCAAGGGAUCCACUUUUGAUUUAAUAGGAUAUUCAAAUGCUGAUUGGGCGGGUUGUAAAAUUGAUAGGAAGAGCACAUCAGGGACUUGUCAGUUUCUGCGAAGAUCCCUGGUGUCUUGGGCUUCAAAGAAACAAAACUCCAUAGCUCUUUCUACCGCCGAAGCCGAGUAUAUUGUCGCAGGCCAUUGUUGUGCGCAAUUACUUUGGAUGAGGCAAACCCUCAGGGACUAUGGCUACAAAUUGAGCAAAGUCCCUCUCCUAUGUGACAAUGAGAGUGCAAUUCGCAUGGCGGAUAAUCCCGUUGAACACAGCCGCACUAAGCACAUAGACAUUCGAUAUCACUUUUUGAGGUAUCACCAACAAAGGGGGAUAUCGAGAUAGCUUAUGUUAGCACCAAAGAACAAUUAGCUGAUAUCUUUACCAAGCCAUUAGAUGAGAAAACCUUUAGCAAACUUAGGAAUGAGCUAAAUAUACUUGAUUCUCGGAUUUUUGAUUGAAACUUUGCACACAUAGCUCAUUGAUAUACCUUUGAUUUGCUACGACUAAUGUAUUUUCAAGUAUAUUCUUACAAUAAGUCAUAGAUUGAAAGGGAAAUGGAGUUCUUCGGCGAAGACAAGGCUUCAACUCCACUCUACUGAUAUCACUUACCCUUCGCCAUCACUCCACAUAACUCUCCAAAUUGGUAUAAUCUUUCACUCGUAUCUACUUGUACCAAUGGGGAGAAAGUAAACAGGGCUCACAAAAGUCUCCGUUUUUGGCGAUUAAUGCCAAAGGGGGAGAAAGUAUUAGCCCAAAAGCAAAAGGACCGCAUCACCACCUUUCGAAAAAUUUUAAUUGAUAUAUUUCAAAUUGGUAUGUUUACCUUCAAUUGGUAUAUUUUCAAAACUAACAUCUCAAUAUAUUUCCAAUUGAUAUCUAUUAAAACUCUCUUGAAAGCUAAGAGGAGAAUUUCAUUAGGGGGAGUUUUGUUUAGUCAAAGGAAAAGCAUUUGAAACAGGGGGGGAAAUUUGAAAUCUUGAAAAUGCUUCUUACAAUCUUAUUCAUAUACCUUUGACUAAAAACAUUUUCCAAAAGAAUUUUCAAAAACGAAACAAGUGGUGCAAGUGUGGUCCAAAAUGUUAAAUAAAAGAAAGCAAACCAUGCAUAUCUAGUGAAAGUAUAAUUUGGUUUAAUUCUAAGUAACCUAUGCACUCACCUUAUGCAAACUAGUUCAAUUCUGCACUUAUAUAUAUUUGCUUUAGUUUGUGUUGGCAUCAAUCACCAAAAAGGGGGAGAUUGAAAGGGAAAUAGGGUUAACCUUUUCCCAGUAUUAAUUUUGGUGGUUGAAAUGCCCAACACAAAUAUUGGACUAACUAGUUUGCUCUAGAUUAUAUAUUCUACAGGUGCAUAAAGGUUGAACACAAACCAAUAAAAGAACAAAGUUAGAGUUCAAAAUUAAAGGAGCAAAGGAACCAAGGGUGCCCUGGUGCACCAGGACCGUACAACUCCAAACUCGCCACCCUCGGGUUUUUCUGGGCGUGCUCCGCUAUAAUUCACCGGACUGUCCGGUGCACCAGCGGAGCAACGGCUACUUCGCGGAACGGUCGCCUGCAAAAGCUGAAUUCGAGAUGAACAGUGCGCAAACAGUGCGCGGCAGAGCAGAGCAGCCGUCAGAGGCGCACCGGACAAUGAACAGUACCUGUCCGGUGCCACUAGAAGACAAAGCCUCCAACGGUCGUCUGCGCCCGAACCCUAACGGUUGGUUGGGUGACGUGGCUAGCGCACCCGACAGUGUCUGGUGGCGCACCGGACUGUCCGGUGCGCCCAUCGACAGCAGCCCCUCCCCAACGGUUGUUUGGUGGUUGAGGGCUAUAAAUACCCAUCAACUACGUCCACUCCAACCAUCCAAGCAUUCACCACACUUCAUUCAAUACAAGAGCAAAGUGCAACACUCCAAGACACAAAUCAAAGCCACCGAUCCAAUCAAAGUCUCCAAUUCAAUUCUAGUGCUUUAGGACUUAAGAGAGGAUCGUUCUUGUGUUUCUUUGUUGCUCUUGUUGCUUGGUUGGCUUUCUUCUUUCUCUCAUUCUUAUUCUCAAAGCCUUGUAAGCGAAGCAAGAGACACCAAUCGUGUGGUGGUCCUUGCGGGGUCUAAGUGACCUGAGAAAUCAAGGAAGAAAGCUCACUCAGUCUAAGUGACCGUUUGAGAUAGGGAAAGGGUUGAAAGAGACCCGGUCUUUGUGACCACCUCAACGGGUACUAGGUUCUUUAGAAUCAAACCUCGGUAAAAAAAAUCACCGUGUCCAUCCGUUUUAUUUCUUAGUUGAUUUGUUUUCCCCUCUCUCCUGGACUUGAUAUUUGUUCUAACGCUAACCCCGGCUUUUAGUGUGUUUAAAGUUAUAAAUUUCAGUUUCUGCCUAUCCACCCCCCUCUAGGUGACUUUCACUAACAAAUCAACUUGUGAAGAGUUUAGUAGGAUCAUGAUACAAAAAUUUGAGAUGUCUAUGAUGGGGGAGUUGAAGUAUUUCCUUGGAUUUCAAAUCAAGCAACUCCAAGAGGGCACCUUCAUCAGCCAAACAAAGUACAUUCAAGACAUGCUUAAGAAGUUUGGGAUGAAGGAUGGCAAACCCAUCAAGACACCCAUGGGAACCAAUGGGCAUCUCAACCUCGACACGAGAGGUAAAUCCGUAGAUCAAAAGGUAUACUGGUCGAUGAUAUGAUCUUUACUCUAUUUAUGUGCAUCUCGACCAGAUAUUAUGCUUUCUGUAUGCAUGUGUGCAAGAUUUUAGGCCGAUCCUAAGGAAGUUCACCUUAGGGCCGUGAAAAGAAUCAUGAGAUACUUAGUUUACACUCCUAAGUUUGGGCUUUGGUACCCCAAGGGAUCCACCUUUGAUUUAAUAGGAUAUUCCGGUGCCGAUUGGGCAGGGUGUAAGAUUGAUAGGAAGAGCACAUUAGGGACUUGUCAGUUUCUAAGGAGAUCCCUGGUGUCAUGGGGUUCAAAGAAACAAAACUCAGUAGCUCUUUCCACCACCGAGGCUGAGUAUAUUGCCACAGGCCAUUGUUGUGCGCAAUUACUUUAGAUAAGGCAAACCCUCAGGGACUAUGGCUACAAUUGAGCAAAGUCCCUCUCCUAUGUGAUAAUGAGAGUGCAAUCCGCAUGGCGGAUAAUCCCGUUGAACACAGCCGCACUAAGCACAUAGACAUUCGGUAUCACUUUCUGAGGGAUCACCAACAAAGGGGGAUAUCAAAAUAGCUUAUGUAAACACCAAGAAUCAAUUAGCUGAUAUCUUUACCAAGCCAUUAGAUGAGAAAACCUUUAGCAAACUUUGGAAUGAGCUAAAUAUACUUGAUUCUCGGAAUUUUGAAUGAAACAUUGCACACAUAGCUCAUUUAUAUACCUUUGAUCAUGUCUCUUUCAUUUAGUACAAAUGCAUAUUUCUUAUUAUUUAUGUACCAAGGCUACGACUAAUGUGUUUUCAAGUAUAUUUCUAUACUAAGUCGUAGAUUGAAAGGGAAAUGGAGUAUUUGGCGAAGACAAGGCUUCCACUCUAACGGUAUCAUUAAUCCUUCGUCGCUACUCCGCACACUGCAAAUUUGUAUAAUCCUUUACUCUUAUUUACUUGUACCAAUGGGGAGAAAAUAUUAAAAGGCUCUCAACAUCUCCGUUUUUGGCGAUUAAUACCAAACGGGGAGAAAUAUUAAGCCCAAAGCAAAAGGACCGCACCACCAUGAUUUCAAAAUUUUCAAAAUAAAGCUUUAAUUGAUAUUUGGCAAUUUCUCAAUUGGUAUCCAUGCUUCACUUAUCUUGAGAAAGCAAAAUUUCAAUUGGUAUAAAGUUUUAAAUUGGUAUUUUUCACAUUGGUAUCUAUGAUGAAAACCCCUUCAAUUGGUAUCUUUAGAAGUUCAUCUUUAAAUUGGUAUCUAUUUUAAAACCCUCUUGAAAGCUAAGAGGAGAAUUUCAUUCAGGGGAGUUUUGUUUAGUCAAAGGAAAAGCAUUUGAAAUAGGGGAGAAAUUUCAAAUCUUGAAAAUGCUUCUUGCAAUCUUAUUCAUAUACCUUUGACUAUUUGCAAAAAGACUUUGAAAAGAUUUUCCGAAAGAAUUUGCAAAAACAAAACAGGUGGUGCAAAUGUGGUCCAAAAUGUUAAAGAAAAGAAAAGCAAUUCAUUCAUAUCUAGUAAGAUUAUCAAUUGGUUUAAUUCCAAGUAACCUAUGCACUUACCUUAUGCAAACUAGUUCAUUUCUGCACUUUAUCUAUUUGCUUUGGUUUGUGUUGGCAUCAAUCACCAAAAAGGGGGAGAUUGAAAGGGAAAUAGGGUUAACCUUUUCCUACAAUUAAUUUUGGUGGUUGAAUGUCCAACACAAAUAUAUGGACUAACUAGUUUUCUCUAGAAUACAUGUUCUACAGGUGCAUAAGGUUCAACACAAACCAAUAAAUAUUCAAGUUAGGGACCCAAUUCAAAAGGAGCAAAAAAGGACUUGAGUGUGCUGUGGUCUGGCGCACAGGACUGUCUGGUGUGCCACCGAACAGUGUACGGUGCACCAGGACCGUAUAGGGUCUAACCAGCUACUCUCAGGAAAACGCGGGCGCGCUCCGCUAUAAGUCACCGGACUGUCCGGUGUGCCACCGGGAAACGACUAUCCAGCACGCAACAGUCGACUCUGACAGGAGCUACAAUGAGCAACAGUGUCACACAGAAGUCAGAGCAGCGAAGUUAGAGGGGCACCGGACUGUCCCGUGUGGCACCGGACUGUCCGGUGCCGCAAGAGGACAAAGCUCCAACGGUCGCCCGAGCUCCGAACCCUAACGGUUGGGUGACGUGGCAGCGCACCGGACAGCCUACAGUGCUUGUCCGGUGGCGCACCGGACUGUCCGGUGUGCCCAUCGCCAGCAGCCUCCCCAACAGCUACGUUGGUCGUUGAGGGUUAUAAAUACCCCCAACCACCACAACUCCAAGCAUCCAAGUUGUCUGAACAUCACAUUCAAUACAAGAGCUCUAGCAUUCACUCCAAGACACAAUACAAAAUGUCAAAUCCUCUUCGAGUCCCAAAUUCACUCCAAACACUUGGUGGCUUGUGUGACAGAGAUUUUUGUGUUCAUUUGAGUUCUUGUCGCUUGGAUUGGCUUUCUUCUUUUCCCAUUCUUAUUCUCAAGAGCUUUGUAAGCGAGGCAAGAGACACCAAGUGUGUGGUGGUCCUUGCGGGGUCUUAGUGACCCGUGAGAUUAAGGAAGAAGGCUCACUCGGUCUAAGUGACCGUUUGAGAGAGGGAAAGGGUUGGAAUAGACUCGGUCUUUGUGACCUCCUCAAUGGGGACUAGGUUCUUUGGAACCAAACCUCGGUAAAACAAAUCAUUGUGUUCAUCCGCUUGAUUUUCAUUUGAUUUGCUUUCCCCCUCUCUCUCCCGGACUUGUUAUUUGUUCUAACACUAACCCCGGCUUGUAGUGUGUGAUUAAAGUUGUAAAUUUCAGAUUACGCCUAUUCACCCCCCCCUCUAGGCGACUUUCAAUUUUCACUAUGCAUAUAAACAAUUUAUCAUUAUGGUCAAUCAAUCUAUUUGUAUCGUAUUAGUCAUAUGAACUGAAAGAAAGAAAAGCAAGUGAAAUGACGGAAUGGAAAUGAAGCCACUUGAACUAUUCUUAAUGAGUACAAACAUUGCAGGAAUAAAUGAGUCAGGGUGUUUGGUUUCUAGGGACUAAUUUUAGUCCCACUAUUUUAUUUUAUUUUAGUCACUAAAUUGCCAAAGUUUCCAUAUUUGCAAUUUAUGGAAUAAGGGGAUGUUUGGGAUGGCUUCAGGUUCCAGCUCCAGCGUGGAGCUGUAGUUUAUAAUAUAAUUUAAAUAGUUUUAAAGAUAUUUUUAGUCUAAAUAAUAAAUAAAAUGGCUUACCUAACUAUCAUUUAAAGGCUUCUAGUCGGUUACCCGUGCGUUGCGACGGCUCACAACAAUACCCACAUAAAUUAUCCACCAAAAAGAUCUCAAGAUUUUUUAUUGAUUAUCUCCGCUCUUCAUAUAAUAUUUUUUAUGAACGCACGGGUACCAUAGGUAGCAAAUCAGAGACCCCCAUCCCUCGCCUCCCCACUUGCAAGGUUUCGUAGAGCAGGAGGGGAAGGGAAGAGGCAGACAUACCUGUUCGUUGCUAGAGAAAGACACGACGAAGACAUGGGCAUUUGGAUGCGACAUAGGUAGUACACCGCUAGAUAUAUAGGGAGAGAGCACGCAAGCGGAGAAAGAAGCCCAGCCGGAGCAGCUCCAAACCGAGAGGCACCCGCACUAGGCGUCAAUCCGAAAAGGGCGAGAGAAUGCGAGUGUCUUUCCAGCCCUGGACCCGCCGAAGCGACACAACAACACCACCAACUAUGUAGCAUAUGCUGACUGCUGCCACGCUACGGGCCUUGGUUGUCCAAUAUCUCAGACCUGGACUCCUCAUCGCCAAGAUAACCUAAGCGUGGCAGGCGCCACUAUGUCCUCCUUGACGGCACGCACAGAGAAAGGCCAGAAGCAUGACUGACUCGCCCCGUACCUGCGUCGGCGAGCGUCGGUCGGCUCGCGGCUACGACCGUGGGCGAGGGCAGCAGGUUGGGGAAGAAGAACCGGGCGAAGUCCAGGAAGAUGAACGGGACGUCCGACGACGACGAAAACGAUGGUGCGCGCAUGAUGUGAAACGUCCUCGUGGACGUGCAAUAGCCACUGCGCGAGUCGGUGUCGAGGCUGGUGUCGGACGAAUACGGGUAGGAGGCGCAUGCUCCUACGCCCUCUGCCGAGAAUGGGGUGGCGCAGAGGUGGAGGCAUGAGGGGAGAGAGAAAUUAAGUAGAAUGGCGAAUGAGGUGGUGACAACUGAGGCGAGGACCAUCAUUAUCGUGUGGAGGUAUAGAUGGCCAACUGGGUUGUGUCUGGCGAGCCGGCCCGAGGCACGACCCAUUUAAUAGUGCCUGGGCCAACUCGGCGCGAGCGCCGUGCUGUGCUUGGGUUGUAGCCUCGGCCCGACACGAUUAUUUUUUUAUUACAAAAAAUCAUAUAUACAUAUGUACAAUUUAUAUUCAAUAUUAUAAAUACCUAAGCAUGAUGUUUUACUGGUUAGACAGCUUCGUCCAGUGUCUCACACCAUUCUUCCAUCAAGGUGUGGGUUCAAACACCACCUCCUACAUCCCUUUUUAACAUAACCCACCUCCCGCACCGCUUUUUGACAUUUUACGCUGAGUUAUUUAGAAGAAAUGUAGAGACUUUUUUGUAAAAAGUUGACGCAGGACGACCGUUGAAACUGUUGCUUUAAGUAUAGUAGAGAUAACUCGAUCUCCAUGAUUUUCUAAAGCACCUAAUGACCUGCUCCAGGAACUCCACUAAAUUUUCUAGAGCUGCAGUUAUCCAAACAAGACCUAAAAUAGAACAAAAUGGAGGGACUAAAAAUUAGUUACUAAACCAAACACCCCUUAGUUCUGAGAAGUUUUAGGUGUAGGUCUCGUUCUGAUAGAAAAGGUAGUAGUACAAUUUUACAAAGCAGCAACAAUGUCUGUCCUAAUGCCGCGACUACAAAACUAAACAUGUUCAACCGUCGGAUCGAGUUAAGGUUGGAUCAUGGGUCAUUUAACAUGGCCCGUAUUCGACCCGUGUCUAGUAUCGGGUCAAGUUGGUUCGUGUCUUCUUGUUUGACGUGCCAAGUCGAGUUUUUCUAUGUUGGGUCAGAUUUUAAGUAAUAACCAUGGCCUAUACCCAGCCGUAAAUUAUUGUUGGUGAAAAAUUAUGACCCGUGAUCAUUUAUUAUAUUAGUUUGGAUCAGAUGCAGCCAAGUUUUUUUCGAAUCGAUUGAGUCUGGUUGGUUGGAUCAUGUGGCCAGGUCUAGCCGAAACAAGCCGGAGAUUGAUCCGCCACAUGCCCACAUCGGACUAGGACCAGCCGAACAACCAUUCCCAAUUUCUCCGCCGCCAAGGCACGAAGCCGGAGCACGAUGGCAGCCACCACGAAUCGGUUUCCCCCACGCCAUGUCCUCCCCCUGCAUCUCGCACCAGUGCACCACCAGCAGGUCCGUCUCCGUCUCCGAGCUGCCGGACGCCUUCCCGCCCCAGACACGGCCUCGUUCUGAAUUCUAUCCACUGGAUUCUUUUGGUACCAAUGUGGUAUAUAUCUUUGUUCAGAGCAUACAAUGAGUAGAUGAGAUUGGCAGCUGAUUUUUAUCAUCACAAGAUUGUCGCCUUGAAUUUUGAGGAGAAUAUAACUCUCUGUUAGUCAGGUCAUCGAAGGCCGAGCUAUUUUUCACAUUCUCAGUUAUAUAAUAGUUUCAGGUUAAUAGCGGAUUAUCAUUUUCUAAUUUCAGAACAAAGCAGUUUGAUGAAUUUACCUCAAGGCUGCUAGAAAUUCAUGAUAAGAUGAUGUCUAUAAAUACGAAAGAGGAUAUACACUUAGGAUUGCACCGGUCUGACUAUAUGCUGGAUUCUUAAACCAAUUCACUACUUCAAAUUGAGCUCAACACUAUCCCAUCAUCCUUUCCUGGCCUUGGCUCCUUUGUCAGUGAACUUCAAAGGUUGUACAAAAUGAUAUUCCACCAGAAAGCAUGGAUGCCAUGCGCCCGGUGCAGUAGCUCCUACCAACACGGACAAGCACUCCAGCGUCCAAAAUGAAUAAUCUUCCAAAGGAUGCACAUAACAUGGAAGUGUCUACACCAGUACCCACAAUAAAUCCGGAAGGAAAUGAUGAGGACGAGACUCCAAAGAACACUGUCUCUAGAAAUGGUGGUUUCCUGCAGAAUGCAGUUGGCCAAGACCUAGUCCAUCUUGGCGUUGCAAGAACAGCAAGUGGUGACCCUUCGGCUGUCGCUUCCGGUGUUAGCACUGGACACCAGCACAACAGAAUGGAUCUUGAUCCAGCAUCCAGCAACGUGGAUAAUUUCAAAACAUCAGAAUUUACAAAAAAAAACGAUCUCCAGGAGUAGGGGAAAGGAGAGAGUAGUAUGUAUGAUGAGAGGCAACCUAAGAGAAGGAAGCGGGCCCUUAUGAAUAAUGAGAAAAUAGAUGAAUUAGAGAAGGCUCUAGUAGAUGAGCCUGAGAUGCACAAAAACCCUGUUCUAUUGCAGAGUUGGUCAGAGAAGUUAAGUUUGUCGGUAAUUUUUUCACUUUGGGGCAUUCUAUUCUUAGGUCUUAAUUGCUGAAUGCAUUCUCAUUUAUGGAAAAUACGGCCGUGCUUUUGUAGGGCCCAGAGAUCACAACAUCACAACUUAAAACUGGUAAAACUGUGUAUCUUAACCGUUGUUUGAAGUUUCUUUCUUCAAAUUGAUAAUAAUGUUUUUUGUGCUUCUCAUCUAAAGCUAUUUGUAACAGUGUUUUCUCGUGCAAUUUCUAGGUUGAACAUCCGGAAAGCUAAGCUUGCUCGCAUUGCAAAAGAAAGGGCGGAGAAUGCUGAUAAACCAUCUACUCCCCAUCCCGGUGAGUCUUCAGAAAGUGCCGGGGAGGACAACUAUCUACCCCCUGCAGGUGUGAUGACUGCUCUAUCCAAAGGUGGUAGCCUGUUGAGCCCGGACAGCACUGAGCAAACGUCGCAGGCAGAGCUAUCCCCGAACACGACGAUGAUGGUACGUCCAUUCACGAGAUCCUUCUCGCUGGAGCCCGGCCGCCUCGUAUCAUUAGUCGACAACGAUGGGAAGGAGGUUGGCAGGGGCAAGAUCUUCCAAGCGCCAGGGAAGAGCACAACGAAGAGCUGCGUUUGCGUGGUUGAUGUCACUGAGCUCAGGACCGAGAAGUGGAGGGAGCUCCCCCACCCUUCGGAGGCAUUUGGGUGGACGUUCCAGGAGGCGGAGGCGAGGAAUGGUGGCAUCAUAAGGGUCUCUUGGGACGCCGUCAGGUUGUUCCCUGUAGCGUAGAAGGCCGAUUGUAUAACAAGAUGAGUAGAGGGAAACUGUGGCCUAAGUAACAUUAUGUUAAAAGUUGUGGUUAACUGUGUUGUAUUCAUGAACUAAUUGUUUUGAGCAAUUCAGGUGGUUACUGAUUUUACAUUUUUA